UGUCCUAGGUCUGAAAUUAACUGAGCUCCACUCUCUGCUCUUCCUGGGUUUAAGUACUGUAAAAUGAAUGCAAAGUCGACAAGCAAUUUCAUGAGGAUAUAGCAGUAGAAUGUGUAUUGGUCAUUUCAUCAUAUUUCAGUACCUCCUUUCCACUUCAGAUUACUGGAUGGUGCAGUCAACAAAUCUUUGGAGGUGAGAUGACCACACAAAUUUCAAACAACUGAUAGAAGUGAAGAAAGAAAAUUCAAACAGAUCAUGUUCCUGUGAUUACUCUUCGGAUGAUUCUAGAGGAUAGUAGGUAAAAGAUCUGGUGAUAGGAGAAAUGGGAGGUAAACACAGGCCAUUGGGUUGUUUCAUUUCAUUCCUUGGUGCUCACGCAAAACCGCUGCCCUCUACUUACUGCAUUGCUAUUUUAUGUUUUUUGAAGUGGUUAACUGCUGUUCUAAUUAAUGGACAGGGGACUCCAUAAAGCUGAUUACAGCUAUGAUUUUGCAUUGACAGUCAUGGUGCUGUUUUUAUAAUGAGUAUAAUUGUAUGCAUCCUAUGAAACUUCCUUUUUUUCUGAACUUUUUAUGUGACUAUCCAAAGAUAUUCUUAGCUAAAUUUGCUUUAUUAGACUAAUUCAGAACUUUUUUUGCCAGUGAACUCUUUACUGGUAUCGCUAGUAUUCCUUCUUCUAACUCAUCCCAUGUAGCUAUUGAAUGAUGACAGCAGAGUUAAAUUAAUAAUUGGACACAGGCACCUGAAAUAGUAAGUGGAAAGGGAGAAAGAAGACACUUUUAAAGAACAAAAUUAAAAUCUUUUUGCUAUGACUUAACUUAUUACUUAUUUUUCUCAUUUUGAUACUUUAAUUCUACCCUUGAUGUGAUAUAUUAAACAGAUUAUAAUUUGAGACCUUUUGCUCUUUGUUUUAAUGAGACAUGAGAAGUAUUUCUUAUUCGUUUGCAUUAUAACCCAUACUUUGUCUGUUCCUAUUCAAAUGCAUGCUAUUAUUUGUCUUGAUGUGAAUGAAAAGUACUUCUCAGAUAUUCAGCUUCAGUUUCCACUUAACUCAU
Molecule: non-coding RNA, 1055 nt
Organism: Meleagris gallopavo (turkey)
Lineage: Eukaryota; Metazoa; Chordata; Aves; Galliformes; Phasianidae
Source: RefSeq, a predicted model, not a curated record